GGUACCUACGGCAGCCUAUAAUGCGAGUCGAACGAUCCAGGGAGCUUGCUCUCUGGGAAAGUGGCGCACGGGUGCGUAACGCGUAUGCAACCUACCUUAAUCAGGGGGAUAGCCUCUCGAAAGAGAGAUUAACACCGCAUAAAAUCAAAGAAUGGCAUCAUUCAAUGAUCAAAUAUUUAUAGGAUUAAGAUGGGCAUGCGUGUCAUUAGCUAGUUGGUGAGGUAACGGCUCACCAAGGCGACGAUGACUAGGGGAUCUGAGAGGAUGACCCCCCACACUGGUACUGAGACACGGACCAGACUCCUACGGGAGGCAGCAGUAAGGAAUAUUGGUCAAUGGAGGCAACUCUGAACCAGCCAUGCCGCGUGCAGGAAGACGGCCCUAUGGGUUGUAAACUGCUUUUAUACGGGAAUAAACCCCGGUUCGUGAACCGGGUUGAAUGUACUGUAAGAAUAAGGAUCGGCUAACUCCGUGCCAGCAGCCGCGGUAAU
Molecule: ribosomal RNA, 491 nt
Filed under: uncultured bacterium
Lineage: Bacteria
Description: bacterial SSU rRNA
Rfam family: Bacterial small subunit ribosomal RNA
Source: RNAcentral